This 424-nucleotide ribosomal RNA is filed under the name uncultured bacterium. RNAcentral's name for it is "bacterial SSU rRNA". It matches the Rfam family "Bacterial small subunit ribosomal RNA", at positions 355 to 796 of the family's 1533-position model. The record is from RNAcentral.
UGGGGAAUCUUGCACAAUGGGGGCAACCCUGAUGCAGCGACGCCGCGUGAGCGAUGAAGCCCUUCGGGGUGUAAAGCUCUUUCGUCAGGGAAGAUAAUGACGGUACCUGGAGAAGCAGCUGCGGCUAACUACGUGCCAGCAGCCGCGGUAAUACGUAGGCAGCGAGCGUUGUUCGGAGUUACUGGGCGUAAAGGGUGUGUAGGCGGUUCUUUAAGUUUGGUGUGAAAUCUCCCGGCUCAACCGGGAGGGUGCGCCGAAUACUGAGGGACUAGAGUGCGGGAGAGGAAAGUGGAAUUCCUGGUGUAGCGGUGAAAUGCGUAGAUAUCAGGAGGAACACCGGUGGUGUAGACGGCUUUCUGGACCGUAACUGACGCUGAGACACGAAAGCGUGGGUAGCAAACAGGAUUAGAUACCCCCGUAGUCC